This 954-nucleotide long non-coding RNA is filed under the name Hordeum vulgare. Its description in RNAcentral is "long non-coding RNA (HVUL_LNC014784)". Lineage: Eukaryota; Viridiplantae; Streptophyta; Magnoliopsida; Poales; Poaceae. The record is from RNAcentral.
UGGAAGUUAUUUAAAUAUAUUUUUUAUUUAACAGAUCAAGAGUCAAUCUACGCCGUAAAAAUUCGGUCCCGCCAGAUUAACGGCUCAUAAAAUCUAGUUAACGUGAGAUUUUCUAGAGAGUCACAAAUUCAAGAGUCAAUCUACGCCGUAAUAAUUCGGUCCCACCAGAUUAACGGCUCAUAAAAUCUAAUUAACGUGAGAUUUUCUAGAGAGUCACAAAUUAGUACAAGUAUAGAUAGAUAGUACGGAGACCAUCUCCCUGGUCAAGGGCAGGAAAAACAACAGGUCCAAGUAUGCAUUUUUUUAUCAGAGAUAUCAAAACUAGUAUGUGGAAAUGCGAUCCUUGUAUUACUCAUAUUCCUGGGAGAUGUCUGUAUACUUGCUGGGGAAAGGCUAAGAAGAACCUGAUAGGUAUCAUGUACGACGUGGGUCAUUGAUCUAGCUAGACAUUCCUGCAGUGCAAGCGAGAUGCCAGUUAUAUGCAAUCCCUCAAUUCUGGAUGCCUUCCAAGCGUAUAGGUAGUUUGCUGAAUCGAAAAGCAGGGCAAGCGGGGUCAUACUAGACUAUGGUCCAUCGUGACUAUCCGGACAAAUGAGCACCCUUCCCUAGUGGAUGCAUGCAGUCAGUAUAGCAUCAUACAAUCUACCUAGCUAUCUGUCUAUUUGAUUUAUUUAUUCUCAUUACAAGAGCUCUCUCCUAACAACAAGUAAUUACUAGUCAUGUAUGUAUUGCCUACUUGCUAUUUUUAUGUGCCUUUUUUGGAGGGAAAGAGAUAUUUAUUACAUUCGUACAAGGUUACAGUCAGCUAACUAAUACUACACUCUUUGUUGGGGAGCUCUUUUAUGGUACCCAGGCACAAAUAUUGGCCGUCCAUUUAUGAAAUCUAAUGAUGUUGACCUCUCUAUGCUGCUUCAAUUUGGUAACUGAAUCACGAGCGGUAUGCUUGCACCGCUU